Molecule: ribosomal RNA, 542 nt
Filed under: Bathyergus janetta (Namaqua dune mole-rat)
Lineage: Eukaryota; Metazoa; Chordata; Mammalia; Rodentia; Bathyergidae
Description: partial 12S ribosomal RNA
Rfam family: Bacterial small subunit ribosomal RNA
Source: RNAcentral
UAGCUUUUUUAUUAAUUGUAAGCAGAAUUACACAUGCAAAUAUCCUUAAGCCAGUGAAAAUGCCCUUUAGAUCAUUCCGAUAUAAAGGAGCGGGUAUCAAGCACACAUAUAAGUAGCUCACGACACCUUGCUUAGCCACGCCCCCACGGGAAACAGCAGUGAUAAAAAUUAAGCUAUGAACGAAAGUUUGACUUAGUCAUGCAAUAUAAUAAGGGUUGGUAAAUUUCGUGCCAGCCACCGCGGUCAUACGAUUAACCCAAAUUAAUAAACCACCGGCGUAAAGAGUGUUUAAGAGUAUAACAAAACUAAGAUUAAAUUCUGUCUCUGUUGUAAAAAACCACAGACAGAUGUAAACCCAAUAAACGCAAGUAAUCUUAUUAUAUCUGAACACACGACAGCUGAGACCCAAACUGGGAUUAGAUACCCCACUAUGCUAAGCUAUAAACACAGAACAUUAAACAAAACAAAAUGUUUCGCCAGAGAACUACUAGCCACGGCUAAAAACUCAAAGGACUUGGCGGUGCUUCACACCCACCUAGAGG